AACGAACGCUGGCGGCAGGCUUAACACAUGCAAGUCGAGCGCCCCGCAAGGGGAGCGGCAGACGGGUGAGUAACGCGUGGGAAUCUACCCAUCUCUGCGGAACAACUCCGGGAAACUGGAGCUAAUACCGCAUACGCCCUUCGGGGGAAAGAUUUAUCGGGGAUGGAUGAGCCCGCGUUGGAUUAGCUAGUUGGUGGGGUAAAGGCCUACCAAGGCGACGAUCCAUAGCUGGUCUGAGAGGAUGAUCAGCCACAUUGGGACUGAGACACGGCCCAAACUCCUACGGGAGGCAGCAGUGGGGAAUAUUGGACAAUGGGCGCAAGCCUGAUCCAGCCAUGUCGCGUGAGUGAUGAAGGCCUUAGGGUUGUAAAGCUCUUUCACCGAUGAAGAUAAUGACGGUAGUCGGAGAAGAAGCCCCGGCUAACUUCGUGCCAGCCGCCGCCGUAA
RNAcentral lists this ribosomal RNA (447 nucleotides) under uncultured bacterium. Its description in RNAcentral is "partial 16S ribosomal RNA". It matches the Rfam family "Bacterial small subunit ribosomal RNA", at positions 29 to 523 of the family's 1533-position model. The record is from RNAcentral.